GCCAGGUGCCGUGGCGCAUGCCUGUAAUCUCAACAGCUUGGGAGGCUGAGGCAGGAGGAUUGUGAGUUCAGCACCAGCCUCAGCAACGGCAAGGUGCUAAGCAACUCAGUGAGAUCCUGUCUCUA
RNAcentral lists this small RNA (125 nucleotides) under Marmota monax (woodchuck). Lineage: Eukaryota; Metazoa; Chordata; Mammalia; Rodentia; Sciuridae. The record is from RNAcentral.